Molecule: ribosomal RNA, 582 nt
Filed under: uncultured bacterium
Lineage: Bacteria
Description: partial 16S ribosomal RNA
Rfam family: Bacterial small subunit ribosomal RNA
Source: RNAcentral
UAAGGAAUAUUGGUCAAUGGACGCAAGUCUGAACCAGCCAUGCCGCGUGAAGGAUGAAGGUCCUCUGGAUUGUAAACUUCUUUUAUAGGGGGCGAAAAAAGGGAAAUCUUUCUCACUUGACAGUACCCUAUGAAUAAGCACCGGCUAACUCCGUGCCAGCAGCCGCGGUAAUACGGAGGGUGCAAGCGUUAUCCGGAUUCACUGGGUUUAAAGGGUGCGUAGGCGGGCGUAUAAGUCAGUGGUGAAAUCCUGGAGCUUAACUCCAGAACUGCCAUUGAUACUAUAUGUCUUGAAUAUGGUGGAGGUAAGCGGAAUAUGUCAUGUAGCGGUGAAAUGCAUAGAUAUGACAUAGAACACCUAUUGCGAAGGCAGCUUACUACGCCUAUAUUGACGCUGAGGCACGAAAAGCGUGGGGAUCAAACAGGAUUAGAUACCCUGGUAGUCCACGCCCUAAACGAUGAUUACUCGACGUGUGCGAUAAACGGUACGCGUCUGAGCGAAAAGCAUUAAGUAAUCCACCUGGGGAAGUACGACCGCAAGGUUGAAACUCAAAGGAAUUGACGGGGUCAUAGCUGUUUCCUG